RNAcentral lists this ribosomal RNA (465 nucleotides) under uncultured bacterium. Its description in RNAcentral is "bacterial SSU rRNA". It matches the Rfam family "Bacterial small subunit ribosomal RNA", at positions 32 to 507 of the family's 1533-position model. The record is from RNAcentral.
AAUCAACGCUGGCGGCGUGCCUCAAACAUGCAAGUCGAACGAUUAAAGCUCUCUUCGGAGAGUGUAUAGAGUGGCGCACGGGUGAGUAACACGUAAGUAAUCUACCUUUGAGUGGGGAAUAACGUCCGGAAACGGACGCUAAUACCGCAUAAUGCAGCGGCAUCGCAAGAUGACAGUUGUUAAAGAUUUAUCGCUUGAAGAGGAGCUUGCGGCAAAUUAGCUAGUUGGUAAGGUAAUGGCUUACCAAGGCUACGAUCUGUAACCGGUCUAAAAGGACGGUCGGUCACACUGACACUGAAUAACGGGUCAAACUCCUACGGGAGGCAGCAGUCGGGAAUUUUGGGCAAUGGGCGAAAGCCUGACCCAGCAACGCCGCGUGAAGGAUGAAGUAUUUCGGUAUGUAAACUUCGAAAGAAUAGGAAGAAUAAAUGACGGUACUAUUUAUAAGGUCCGGCUAACUACGUG